Molecule: ribosomal RNA, 809 nt
Filed under: uncultured bacterium
Lineage: Bacteria
Description: bacterial SSU rRNA
Rfam family: Bacterial small subunit ribosomal RNA
Source: RNAcentral
AGAGUUUGAUCCUGGCUCAGGAUGAACGCUGGCGGCGUGCCUAACACAUGCAAGUCGAACGGGUUAAGAGAAAUUUUCGGAUGGACCUUAACUUAGUGGCGGACGGGUGAGUAACGCGUGAUAACCUGCCUCACACUGGGGGAUAGCAGCUGGAAACGGCUGGUAAUACCGCAUAAGACCCGUUGCCGCAUGGCAGUGGGGUAAAAGAUUUAUCGGUGUGAGAUGGAUCCGCGUCUGAUUGCCAGUUGGCGGGGUAACGGCCCACCAAAGCGACGAUCAGUAGCCGGCCUGAGAGGGUGACGGCCACAUUGGGACUGAGACACGGCCCAAACUCCUACGGGAGGCAGCAGUGGGGAAUAUGCACAAUGGGCGCAAGCCUGAUGCAGCAACGCCGCGUGAGUGAAGAAGUAUUUCGGUAUGAAAGCUCUAUCGGCAGGGAAGAAAGGCCCGAAAGGGAGAUGACGGUACCUGACUAAGAAGCCCGGCUGACUACGUGCCAGCAGCCGCGGUAAUACGUAGGGGGCAAGCGUUAUCCGGAUUACUGGGUGUAAAGGGAGCGCAGACGGCAGUGCAAGUCUGAUGUGAAAGCCCGGGGCUCAACCCGGAACUGCAUUGGAAACUGUACAGCUCGAGUGUCGGAGAGGUAAGCGGAAUUCCUAGGUAGCGGUGAAAUGCGUAGAUAUUAGGAGGAACACCGGUGGCGAAGGCGGCUUACUGGACAUAACUGACGUUGAGGCUCGAAAGCGUGGGGAGCAAACAGGAUUAGAUACCCUGGUAGUCACGCUGUAAACGAUGAAUACUAGUGUGGG